UUAUACGACCGUACCGCAAACCGACACUGGUGCGCGAGAUGAGUAUUCUAAGGCGCUUGAGAGAACUCAGGAGAAGGAACUCGGCAAAUUGACACCGUAACUUCGGAAGAAGGUGUGCCCUAUUAGUGUGUAGUGAACAACGAAGCAUGAAUGGGUUGCAAAAAAUCGGUGGCUGCGACUGUUUAUUAAAAACACAGCACUCUGCAAACACGAAAGUGGACGUAUAGGGUGUGACGCCUGCCCGGUGCUGGAAGAUUAAAUGAUGGGGUGCAAGCUCUUGAUUGAAGUCCCAGUAAACGGCGGCCGUAACAAUAACGGUCCUAAGGUAGCGAAAUUCCUUGUCGGGUAAGUUCCGACCUGCACGAAUGGCGUAACGAUGGCCACACUGUCUCCUCCUGAGACUCAGCGAAGUUGAAAUGUUUGUGAUGAUGCAAUCUCCCCGCGGAAAGACGGAAAUACCCCAUGAACCUUUACUGUAGCUUUGUAUUGGACUUUGAACAGAUCUGUGUAGGAUAGGUGGGAGGCUUUGAAGCAGGGUCGCUAGAUCUUGUGGAGCCAACGUUGAAAUACCACCCUGGUGUGUUUGAGGUUCUAACCUAGGUCCAUUAUCUGGAUCGGGGACAGUGCAUGGUAGGCAGUUUGACUGGGGCGGUCUCCUCCCAAAGCGUAACGGAGGAGUUCGAAGGUACGCUAGUUACGGUCGGACAUCGUGACGAUAGUGCAAUGGCAUAAGCGUGCUUAACUGCGAGACUGACAAGUCGAGCAGAUGCGAAAGCAGGACAUAGUGAUCCGGUGGUUCUGUAUGGAAGGGCCAUCGCUCAACGGAUAAAAGGUACUCUGGGGAUAACAGGCUGAUACCGCCCAAGAGUUCAUAUCGACGGCGGUGUUUGGCACCUCGAUGUCGGCUCAUCUCAUCCUGGGGCUGUAGCCGGUCCCAAGGGUAUGGCUGUUCGCCAUUUAAAGAGGUACGUGAGCUGGGUUUAAAACGUCGUGAGACAGUUUGGUCCCUAUCUUCCGUGGGCGCUGCAGAUUUGAGGAAGCCUGCUCCUAGUACGAGAGGACCGGAGUGGACACACCUCUGGUGUAUCGGUUGUCACGCCAGUGGCAUUGCCGAGUAGCUAAGUGUGGAAGAGAUAACCGCUGAAAGCAUCUAAGCGGGAAACUCGUUUCAAGAUGAGAUCUGCCGGGGCCUUGAGCCCCCUAAAGAGUCGUUCAAGACCAGGACGUUGAUAGGUCAGGUGUGGAAGCGAAAAA
This 1254-nucleotide ribosomal RNA is filed under the name metagenome. RNAcentral describes it as "bacterial LSU rRNA". It matches the Rfam family "Bacterial large subunit ribosomal RNA", at positions 1634 to 2880 of the family's 2925-position model. The record is from RNAcentral.